GACGAACGCUGGCGGCGUGCCUAAUACAUGCAAGUAGAACGCUGAGGGAGGAGCUUGCUUCUCUGGAUGAGUUGCGAACGGGUGAGUAACGCGUAGGUAACCUGCCUGGUAGCGGGGGAUAACUAUUGGAAACGAUAGCUAAUACCGCAUAAGAGUAGAUGUUGCAUGACAUUUGCUUAAAAGGUGCAAUUGCAUCACUACCAGAUGGACCUGCGUUGUAUUAGCUAGUUGGUGGGGUAACGGCUCACCAAGGCGACGAUACAGAGCCGACCUGAGAGGGGGAUCGGCCACACUGGGACUGGGACACGGCCCAGACUCCUACGGGGGGCAGCAGUAGGGAAUCUUCGGCAAUGGACGGAAGUCUGACCGAGCAAAGCCGCGUGAGUGAAGAAGGGUUUCGGAUCGUAAAGCUCUGUUGUAAGAGAAGAACGAGUGCGAGAGUGGAAAGUUCACACUGUGACGGUAUCUUAACAGAAAGGGACGGCUAACUACGUG
Molecule: ribosomal RNA, 495 nt
Filed under: uncultured bacterium
Lineage: Bacteria
Description: partial 16S ribosomal RNA
Rfam family: Bacterial small subunit ribosomal RNA
Source: RNAcentral